GAUGAACGCUGGCGGCGUGCCUAAUACAUGCAAGUCGAGCGAACAGACGAGGAGCUUGCUCCUUUGACGUUAGCGGCGGACGGGUGAGUAACACGUGGGUAACCUACCUAUAAGACUGGGAUAACUUCGGGAAACCGGAGCUAAUACCGGAUAAUAUUUCGAACCGCAUGGUUCGAUAGUAAAAGAUGGCUCUGCUAUCACUUAUAGAUGGACCUGCGCCGUAUUAGCUAGUUGGUAAGGUAACGGCUUACCAAGGCAACGAUACGUAGCCGACCUGAGAGGGUGAUCGGCCACACUGGAACUGAGACACGGUCCAGACUCCUACGGGAGGCAGCAGUAGGGAAUCUUCCGCAAUGGGCGAAAGCCUGACGGAGCAACGCCGCGUGAGUGAUGAAGGUCUUCGGAUCGUAAAACUCUGUUAUUAGGGAAGAACAAACGUGUAAGUAACUGUGCACGUCUUGACGGUACCUAAUCAGAAAGCCACGGCUAACUACGUG
Molecule: ribosomal RNA, 497 nt
Filed under: uncultured bacterium
Lineage: Bacteria
Description: partial 16S ribosomal RNA
Rfam family: Bacterial small subunit ribosomal RNA
Source: RNAcentral